GAGCAUCUACAACCUUCUCAUCUCUCUUCUCAGUCUUCACCAAGCCCCUUUCUGCAGCAUUGGAUGCUACUGGCCCCUGCUCUUGCUGUAAGCAUCCAGCCUCCUGAGCACCACCCUAUCCUGGUCUUCUUCACAAUCUUCUUAUUUCCUUGCCUCUUUCUUUGAUUCUUUUCCUUUCAACUUUUAGUCAUGGGUAUUUGACAGAGUUUUAUAUUUUUCUUCCUCCUCUCCGUCUCCUUUCAUUUCUGUCUCUGUCUCUGUGUUCCUCCUCCAGCACUACAACUGCCUUUUCUAAUUUGUACCUCUGCCCCACAAUCCUACCUGGACAUCUGAGCUAUUUUGUUGCUAACUCUACUUUUAAUUCUUGAAAUAGCAACAAAGAUCCAGAUUUCCUCCCUGCCCUAUCUAUUCUAGAACAUGACUGGUAUUCUCCAACCUCCUGGGGAAAACACUGAUCCAGAAAACAUAAUAUUAACUCCUUUUUUUCACUCAUUGUGGCAGAAACCAAGUUUCCACUGUCAAUACAGAACCUGAAAAGAACCCAUCAGAAAACAGAUUAUGCCCAGGAGUCAGUAGCCUCCUUAGUCUGGAGGGCUGCCUGCAGGACUAAGCACUACAAAAAGGUAGAGGGGGUAGGGGGAGACUGACAAGGAAGGAUGGUAGCUCAAGGAUAAAGCUUAUGAGAAAGGAAAAAAAUAAAGAGAGUGAGAAGUCAGAAGAUAAAUGAUGAAAUGGACAAAAGAAAGAAAACAUAAAACAGGUGCAGUGAUGCACACAUGUAAUCCCAGUGGUUUAAGAGGUUGAGGCAGGAGGAUCAUGAGUUCAAACCCAGACUCAGCAACUUAGUGAGGUUCUAAGCAAC
Molecule: long non-coding RNA, 862 nt
Filed under: Marmota monax (woodchuck)
Lineage: Eukaryota; Metazoa; Chordata; Mammalia; Rodentia; Sciuridae
Source: RNAcentral